Molecule: small nucleolar RNA, 142 nt
Organism: Ochotona princeps (American pika)
Lineage: Eukaryota; Metazoa; Chordata; Mammalia; Lagomorpha; Ochotonidae
Source: Ensembl
GUCCAAGGUGAUUCCCUCUUCCACGGGGCCUGACCAGUGCCUCCGUCUGGAAAGUAGCAACUUGGAAGAGCACGCGGCAUGCCCGAAGACUGGGGCCCAGGGCGUGCUGGCUUCCUGUGCCUGCCUUCGGCUGCCUACAUGC